RNAcentral lists this transfer RNA (75 nucleotides) under Porticoccaceae bacterium. RNAcentral's name for it is "tRNA-Arg". It matches the Rfam family "tRNA". From Rfam's summary of the family: Transfer RNA (tRNA) molecules are approximately 80 nucleotides in length. Lineage: Bacteria; Pseudomonadati; Pseudomonadota; Gammaproteobacteria; Cellvibrionales; Porticoccaceae. The record is from RNAcentral.
ACCCCGGUAGUUAAACGGAUAUAACAGUAGACUUCUAAUCUUCUAUUCCAGGUUCGAUUCCUGGCCGGGGUACCA